UAAGUCCAUGGGAUUUUUCCUUUCCUUGUUUUAUUUUUCUUGUCCUUGUUUUUGCUUUCCUUUUAGAAUUGUGGAUUCAAUUAGAGGGAGGGGUUUUUAUUGUAGGUUGUUAUUGUUUCGAUAUUGCAUACGUUGAGUGGGUUUUCAGGAGUAGAUUCGAUCCUCCCCAUACCCUCCUGCGUCAGUGGGCCUAAAGAGCCAAGAGAGUGACAAAGGGCCCAACGGGUUGGGAACUAGAAAAGUGAGUCUCAUCAGUCAAAUGUCAACUGAAAGAUUUAACUAUAGGUCAAAUUGAUCGAACCAUAUAGUGUUUUCUGAAAGUUUAAAAUGGUUGAAUGGAUUAGGGUUUUAUUUUGAUGAUACUGGUCUAAUGUUGAAUUAUAUGUCUUCCCAAAAAAUCCUAAACCCAUUAUCCUGUUAUCACAAAAGGGUUACUAUUACGAAAUUGAUUUCUAAUUGUUGGUGAACCACAUCUUGUGAAUGGAUACUAGACUAGUUUUUUCUCUGAUAA
This 511-nucleotide long non-coding RNA is filed under the name Carica papaya (papaya). Its description in RNAcentral is "long non-coding RNA (CPAP_LNC013075)". The record is from RNAcentral. Lineage: Eukaryota; Viridiplantae; Streptophyta; Magnoliopsida; Brassicales; Caricaceae.